AACUGAAAAGGAAAUGGUGUUCUUCCUUACCCAACCGCUUUACAUAAGCUGAUGACGCCUGAUUAAUA
Molecule: non-coding RNA, 68 nt
Filed under: Chryseobacterium sp.
Lineage: Bacteria; Pseudomonadati; Bacteroidota; Flavobacteriia; Flavobacteriales; Weeksellaceae
Description: Fluoride sequence
Rfam family: Fluoride riboswitch aptamer (crcB RNA motif)
Source: RNAcentral